UCCCUGGUGGUUCAGUGGUUAGGAUUCUACUUUUCUGGUGCAGGGAGCACAGGUUUGAUCCCUGGUCAGGGAA
RNAcentral lists this transfer RNA (73 nucleotides) under Ovis aries (sheep). It matches the Rfam family "tRNA". From Rfam's summary of the family: Transfer RNA (tRNA) molecules are approximately 80 nucleotides in length. The record is from Rfam by way of RNAcentral. Lineage: Eukaryota; Metazoa; Chordata; Mammalia; Artiodactyla; Bovidae.